Molecule: long non-coding RNA, 1260 nt
Filed under: Macaca fascicularis (crab-eating macaque)
Lineage: Eukaryota; Metazoa; Chordata; Mammalia; Primates; Cercopithecidae
Description: lncRNA (ENSMFAG00000057430.1)
Source: RNAcentral
AUGGCGGUCCCGGCGAGCCCUCGCCGGCGCCCGGGGUGCUGCCCGCCGCCACCGUGGCCCAUGAUGUGGUCUAUAGAGAAGGAAGGCCUUUGCCCUGUUCCGGCGCCCCCGCCGCCUGCACCACUGCCCGCGUCCGUCUUGAGACCCUGGCGCAGAAGUGCGGUGGACAGACCCGCCGCGGUGCCGGCUGCGGGAGGCUCAGGGACGCCGGGUAGAAGGCUUUGGCGCAGCCCAGCUCGGCGCCCAGGAAGGCGGGCAGGCCUGCGGGGCCCGGGCCCGAGCCUGAGGCUGGCGCAGGAGCUGGGGCAGAUGCCGCGCCCGCGAACACCGAGGCCGUCGGAGGUCCGGGUGGAGGCGGCGCGGCCUGGGGGAACCGACAGCUGGCAAGGAGCGAGCGGCGGCUGCCGCGGCGAAGGCAAAAGCGUGCGGAUGCGGAUGCGGGUGCGGGUGCGUGGCCGGCCCCGGCGGUGCGCCGUAGGCCGGGAGAGCCAGCCCGUAGCCGUAGCCGUAGGCGCCGUAGGCAGCGAAGCCGGGCAGGAAAGAGCCGGGUCCCCGCCGCGGCCCCGCCACGCAGCAGCAGCUCCGGGUGAGGGUGCGGGUGUGGGUGCGGCGGCGGCAGGGCUGCCGCUUGAAGCGCUUGCGGCGCCGCAGGAAGCUGCCGUUGUCGAACAUGUCGGCCGACUCCGGGUCCAGCGUCCAGUAGUUGCCCUUUCCCGGGUUGCCCGGCUCGCGGGGGAUCUUGACGAAGCAGUCGUUGAGCGAGAGGUUGUGGCGGAUGCUGUUCUGCCAGGCGGGGAACUUCUCCCGGUAGUAGGGGAAGCGGCCGCUGAUGAACUCGCAGAUCUCGCUCAGCGUCAGCCGCUUCUUGGGGCUCUGCAGGAUGGCCAUGGUGAUGAGCGCGAUGUACGAGUAGGGCGGCUUCACCAAAGGGCUCCGCGUCGCCGCGCCCCCGACGGCGGUCCCGGCCCGGGCCCCGCUGCGCCGCGGGCCGCCGCCGCGCCUGGCCCUGGGCUCCCCGCUGCGGCCGCCGCCCCCGGGGCGCCAGAGCUUGGGGCUCGCCGUCCGAGCAGCCACCCGACUCUUCCUCGUCCUCGGCUACGUCUGCCUCGGCUUCCUCCGGGGGAGGCUCGUGGCCGUGGGGGAGCGCGUCCCAGGGGCACGGGGCCCGGAGCGGGCUCCCCCCUCCGCUGCCGCCGCCCACCACGUCUAUGUCUGCGUCGGCCUCGGACAGCGCGGCCGGGGAGCUCUCGGAGGACAUGA